Non-coding RNA from Nicotiana sylvestris (wood tobacco), 97 nucleotides. The record is from Rfam. Lineage: Eukaryota; Viridiplantae; Streptophyta; Magnoliopsida; Solanales; Solanaceae.
UGGACAGAUUAUUGUAUUCGACUGUAUUCACGGCAUGAAAUAGGAGAUUACACUGGUUUUAAAACGGAAAGUGAAUCAAUUAACAUAAUAUACUCCU